CUCUAGGGUAGUCUGGAAAUACCCUAACAGUGCAGAUAUACUGGCUCUGGUUGAAGUCUCGGUAUUGUUCCUCCACUGUGUACUCUGGGUACCAGCGGUAACCGCACACCGACAUCACCCUGACCGGCAUGGCCGUAUGACUCGACACAUCAAUGCACCUGGUCAGACGAACCACCUGACGAGAAGGACGGCCAGGCAUCUGAAAAUAGAGAGUAAUGCAAAAGCAUUAGAGCUCUGAAUGCAAAAUUGGGCAGCAUAACGGCUGUAAAUGCUCAAAAUAAUUUUGAGACAACCCCACAAAUAGGAUAGCGUAACCACUCAACUAUCAAGUUCAAUUCUCUGAUCGUGAAACUUACUUCCUUUUCCUAGGAAUAAAAGAAACCCAAAAUCUAUCGACCCGUAGUCUUAUAAU
This 412-nucleotide long non-coding RNA is filed under the name Hordeum vulgare. Its description in RNAcentral is "long non-coding RNA (HVUL_LNC012605)". Lineage: Eukaryota; Viridiplantae; Streptophyta; Magnoliopsida; Poales; Poaceae. The record is from RNAcentral.